GUCGCUACUACCGAUUGAAUGGCUCGGUGAGGCCUUCGGACUGGCCCAGGGAGGUCGGCAACGACCACCCAGGGCCGGAAAGUUGGUCAAACCCGGUCAUUUAGAGGAAGUAAAAGUCGUAACAAGGUCUCCGUAGGUGAACCUGCGGAGGGAUCAUUA
This 159-nucleotide ribosomal RNA is filed under the name Cladosporium sp. RNAcentral's name for it is "partial 18S ribosomal RNA". It matches the Rfam family "Eukaryotic small subunit ribosomal RNA", at positions 1675 to 1831 of the family's 1831-position model. Lineage: Eukaryota; Fungi; Ascomycota; Dothideomycetes; Cladosporiales; Cladosporiaceae. The record is from RNAcentral.